UACGUAGGGUGCGAGCGUUGUCCGGAAUUAUUGGGCGUAAAGGGCUCGUAGGCGGUUUGUCGCGUCGGGAGUGAAAACGCACAGCUUAACUGUGUGCUUGCUUUCGAUACGGGCAGACUAGAGGCAUGCAGGGGAGAACGGAAUUCCUGGUGUAGCGGUGAAAUGCGCAGAUAUCAGGAGGAACACCGGUGGCGAAGGCGGUUCUCUGGGCAUGUCCUGACGCUGAGGAGCGAAAGUGUGGGGAGCGAACAGG
Molecule: ribosomal RNA, 253 nt
Filed under: uncultured bacterium
Lineage: Bacteria
Description: partial 16S ribosomal RNA
Rfam family: Bacterial small subunit ribosomal RNA
Source: RNAcentral